AUACUGGCUUCAGCAGCAUAUAUACUAAAAUUGGAACAAUAUACGGAUAAGGUUAGCAUGGAUCCCGCACAAAGAUGACACACAAAACUCAAAAAGAUGCAACAUUGUG
Small nuclear RNA from Ochotona curzoniae (black-lipped pika), 109 nucleotides. The record is from RefSeq and is a predicted model, not a curated record. Lineage: Eukaryota; Metazoa; Chordata; Mammalia; Lagomorpha; Ochotonidae.